RNAcentral lists this ribosomal RNA (455 nucleotides) under uncultured Desulfuromonas sp. RNAcentral describes it as "bacterial SSU rRNA". It matches the Rfam family "Bacterial small subunit ribosomal RNA", at positions 927 to 1382 of the family's 1533-position model. The record is from RNAcentral. Lineage: Bacteria; Pseudomonadati; Thermodesulfobacteriota; Desulfuromonadia; Desulfuromonadales; Desulfuromonadaceae.
AAGCGGUGGAGCAUGUGGUUAAUUCGACGCAACGCGAAGAACCUUACCUGGGCUUGACAUCCCGAUCGCACCUUAUGGAAACAUAGGGGUCAGUUCGGCUGGAUCGGUGACAGGUGCUGCAUGGCUGUCGUCAGCUCGUGUCGUGAGAUGUUGGGUUAAGUCCCGCAACGAGCGCAACCCUUGUCCUUAGUUGCCAGCAUUCAGUUGGGCACUCUAAGGAGACUGCCGGUGUCAAACCGGAGGAAGUGGGGAUGACGUCAAGUCCUCAUGGCCCUUAUGUCCAGGGCUACACACGUGCUACAAUGGCCGGUACAAAGGGGCGCAAGACCGCGAGGUGGAGCAAAUCCCAAAAAACCGGUCUCAGUUCGGAUUGGAGUCUGCAACUCGACUCCAUGAAGUUGGAAUCGCUAGUAAUCGCGUAUCAGCAUGACGCGGUGAAUACGUUCCCGGGCCUU